AGAGUUUGAUCCUGGCUCAGAUUGAACGCUGGCGGUAUGCUUAACACAUGCAAGUCGAACGGAAACGAUGGUAGCUUGCUACCAGGCGUCGAGUGGCGGACGGGUGAGUAACGCGUAGGAAUCUGCCUGAUAGUGGGGGAUAGCCCAGAGAAAUCUGGAUUAAUACCGCAUAAUCUCUAUGGAGUAAAGGAGCCCUCUUCUUGAAAGGUUUCGCUAUCAGAUGAGCCUGCGUAAGAUUAGCUUGUUGGUGAGGUAAAAGCUCACCAAGGCGACGAUCUUUAGCUGGCCUGAGAGAAUGAUCAGCCACACUGGAACUGAGACACGGUCCAGACUCCUACGGGAGGCAGCAGUGGGGAAUAUUGGACAAUGGGCGCAAGCCUGAUCCAGCAAUACCGCGUGUGUGAAGAAGGCCUGAGGGUUGUAAAGCACUUUCAAUUGUGAAGAAAAGCUAAUGGUUAAUACCCAUUAGCCUUGACGUUGACUUUAGAAGAAGCACCGGCUAACUCCGUGCCAGCAGCCGCGGUAAUACGGAGGGUGCAAGCGUUAAUCGGAAUUACUGGGCGUAAAGCGUGCGUAGGUGGUUUGUUAAGUUAGAUGUGAAAGCCCUGGGCUCAACCUAGGAACUGCA
Molecule: ribosomal RNA, 628 nt
Filed under: uncultured Gammaproteobacteria bacterium
Lineage: Bacteria; Pseudomonadati; Pseudomonadota; Gammaproteobacteria
Description: bacterial SSU rRNA
Rfam family: Bacterial small subunit ribosomal RNA
Source: RNAcentral